Molecule: ribosomal RNA, 253 nt
Filed under: uncultured bacterium
Lineage: Bacteria
Description: partial 16S ribosomal RNA
Rfam family: Bacterial small subunit ribosomal RNA
Source: RNAcentral
UACGUAGGGGGCAAGCGUUGUCCGGAUUCAUUGGGCGUAAAGAGCGCGCAGGCGGUCGUGCAAGUCGCGUGUGAAAGCCCCCGGCUCAACUGGGGAGGGUCACGCGAUACUGUUCGACUCGAAGGCAGGAGAGGGAAGCGGAAUUCCCGGUGUAGUGGUGAAAUGCGUAGAUAUCUGGAGGAAUACCGGUGGCGAAGGCGGCAUCCUGGACCGAGAUUGACACUGAUGAGCGAAAGCUAGGGGAGCAAACGGG